CCGCCUACCGGCCUCCCAGUCAUAUUCUCCUCCGAAGCCGGGCACUAGACCCGCCCCUCAUCUGCAUAGAAUGAACAGAUCGCAACCGCAUGGGUUUCCGCCCGGGACUACAUUUCCCAGGGUAUUGUGCGGCAAGAUUCGGAACGCUCCGAUAAGAACAGCCGUGGGCAAUGGAGCGGUUGGACGCAGUAGAAGGAUGCGGGCCAUUCAGUGAGGAGCUGCAACGGGCGCUUGCCGCGGGUUGACUCUCUGCGCGGCUAUUGGCUGGGACGUCGGCGACGGUUGCGGAUGGCAGUUGGCGGGUGGCCGGUGGUCGCCGGGCGAGACGGAUGGCGCCCUUUUCGUCCCCGCUUGGGGGUGCUGGGAUUCUAUUGUUUUGCUUGUGGCUGAACGACUGCCAGGCUGUGUGGAGAUAUAGAACUUCUGUAGGGAACUACUUUCUGUUCACUACAAGCACAACUGAAAAAUGAAGUUUGCUGUUGCAUCCAAACUGACAAAUUAUAAUUCCAAACCAGAACACAAACAACUAUCAAAUCAAGAUUUACUUUUAAACUUUGUAAUACACAAGUCUGUGGGAGGAAAAACACACAAACUCAAGAGUUGGUUAUAUGUGAUUCCUACUGCAUGUGAACUUCAUCAGCAAAACAAACAAGACAAUGGAGCACUAACAAAGAUUAUUAAAACAUUGUUAUUAGUAAAAUGUAUUGUGUAAAGGCAGGAGUCUGGAGAGUGAUCCUAACCUAUUUCUCAGAUUCAUUCAGUUGGACUUACUUCCGGGAAAGUCCUCUUAGGAUGGCACUGCUAAUGUUUUAAAGAUGCACUACAUUUUUUCCAUUUGUCUAGAUAUAUUUAGAAUACGAAGGAACUUCAUUUGUGGAAUGGGAUGCUCCUGUAUUUUGUAUAAUUGGAAACAUAAGGUAAAAACUGCAAAAGUGUGAAACAGCAUAUGAAUGAAGAGUAUUCAUAUGAAGAUGGCAGCAUCCUCUUUCAAGAAGAUAUGUAUGUUGAAUCUAAAUGUUUUGUGUGUGUUUGUGUGUGGGCACACAAUGUACACAUUAAUUCCUAUUUAAAACUGUAGAUUGUCUUACUACAGGUAACAUUUCUAGAAUUUAGAAAAUAAAUUAGGGGUUAACAUAAACCUUUUUAAAAAAAGAAAAAAAUGAACAUUUGCUUCCUGGCAAUGGGGAGGCUUUUCAGCUUUUUUAGCCUUCUCUGGCCACUGGGAAGCCUCUAACUUAGCGGUGGGGGAAGGCACCAGAAGAGGCACCGUGGCCUUCCUCUUUUGAGUUUGGAUAUGUCAGGCCCUCUAUUCUGGCGUUUCUGCAAUCUUGCAAGCCAGACGACAAGCAGCUCACAAGCUUCUCCAGAAGGCUUUCCUCUCGCCUCCCCCAAAGCAACCUUCUCCGUGAAAUGCUUUCACUUUUGAGAACGUGGAGGAAAGUAAGCAAGUCUGACUGCCAGCAAUACCAAAGUCCAAAACCUUUUAUUUACAGCAGUUAAAAAAACAGGAAAAGAAAACAGUCCUUUAAAUAACUCCACAACUACCUUGAGUCUUAUUACUGACUGGAGUACAAGACCCUUACAAUGCCUCAAGUUUAUAUAGUGAAAGAUGUGCAAAUAAUAUUUUUAUUUAUUUAUUUAUAAUCAGUUUUGUAUACCGCCCCUCCCCCGAAAGGCUCUGGGUGGUGAACAACACAAUAAACAGACAAUUAUAUUAAAACCCCAUUUAAAACAGAGGAUUAAGUAAAAUUACAUCGGCAUCCAGCAUAAAACUUCAUAAACCCACCCUGGAAAGAACAACAAGAGAGCAGAGGCCCCCCAUAGAAAUAAAGGGGCCCAGAAUGUAAAGGGGGAGGGAGAGGGCGCACAUCAGUGGCUGGCCCCUCCAAAAGCCCAGUGGAACAAUUCAGUCUUACAGGCCCUGCGGAACUCUCCAAGA
Molecule: RNA transcript, 1939 nt
Organism: Sphaerodactylus townsendi
Lineage: Eukaryota; Metazoa; Chordata; Lepidosauria; Squamata; Sphaerodactylidae
Gene name: cation channel sperm-associated auxiliary subunit epsilon-like
Exons: 3
Source: RefSeq, a predicted model, not a curated record